GGGCCCGCACAAGCGGUGGAACAUGUGGUUUAAUUCGACGCAACGCGAAGAACCUUACCUGGGUUUGACAUCCCCGGCCGACACCAGAGAUGGUGUUUUCUCUUCGGAGACCGGGUGACAGGUGCUGCAUGGCUGUCGUCAGCUCGUGUCGUGAGAUGUUGGGUUAAGUCCCGCAACGAGCGCAACCCUUGCCCUCAGUUGCCAGCAGUUCGGCUGGGCACUCUGGGGGACUGCCGGUGACAAGCCGGAGGAAGGUGGGGAUGACGUCAAGUCCUCAUGGCCUUUAUAUCCAGGGCCUACACACGUGUUACAAUGGGGUCACAAAGGGCAGCGAAACGGUGACGUGGAGCGAAUCCCAAAAAAGCCCUCUCAGUUCGGAUCGCAGUCUGCAACUCGACUGCGUGAAGCUGGAAUCGCUAGUAAUCG
This 426-nucleotide ribosomal RNA is filed under the name uncultured bacterium. RNAcentral describes it as "bacterial SSU rRNA". It matches the Rfam family "Bacterial small subunit ribosomal RNA", at positions 917 to 1344 of the family's 1533-position model. The record is from RNAcentral.